AGCAGGAAGGAGAAAUAUGGCCAAUGAAAAAUAAAAAAAAUAUUUAUAUUUGAUAGGAGUUUUUUAUAAAAAGAGAUAAAAAAUGUUUUUUUAAAAAAUAAGAGUUUUAUAUUACAUAAAAAAAUUGUAUGGGAUAUCAAAAAAAUUAAUUUUAUUUCUGAAAAUUAGGAUAAUUAUUUUUUUAAGAAUACGCUUAAGCUUUUUGAUAGAGUAGAAUAAAAUCUUUCUUUUUAUUAAAAAUAUAAUGGAUAUAUUUUUUAUAAUUUUUCUGAAAAAAAUAGAUGAGUAACUGGAAAUCGGAAUGCACUAUUAUUCUAUGUCAACAAAAUAUGAAAAAACACCGUUCCCAAACAUCAGCUUUCUAUAUGAACUAAACUAGCCCAAAUCUUGAGAAGAAAAGAGUAGUAGGAGGAAAAUAUACUUCAUAAACCAAACUAUCGGAGAAUCAGGAAGUUUGAACUUGAUCUGCUUCAUUUGAGACAAGCUUGUCCUAACCUAAAACAUUGGGACAAGGUUAGCAAUUAUGUUCGAGGUUAAUUUCAUUUAUAUUUACAUUUUUGAGCUAGUUCGUAAACCAUGCGCCUGUAUAGAUUCUACAUAUUUUU
Molecule: long non-coding RNA, 605 nt
Filed under: Phoenix dactylifera (date palm)
Lineage: Eukaryota; Viridiplantae; Streptophyta; Magnoliopsida; Arecales; Arecaceae
Description: long non-coding RNA (PDAC_LNC001261)
Source: RNAcentral